Molecule: long non-coding RNA, 360 nt
Filed under: Daphnia pulex (common water flea)
Lineage: Eukaryota; Metazoa; Arthropoda; Branchiopoda; Diplostraca; Daphniidae
Description: uncharacterized LOC124209445
Source: RNAcentral
AUCACAACUCGUCCAGCAUCAGUUGCAGCGAUAACCAAAAAUGUUCCAGAUUUUUUCUCUUUGCUUGCGUCUUGGCUGUGAUGGCCGUCGUCUACACCAACUCGGCACCCACUGAAGAUGAACCCGCUAAUUCCGACGAGCCGGGAGACCAGUUCUUGUUCUACUGUCGCUUGUUCAGUUCUUGCAGCAACAGCACCCAGUGCUCGAGCAAUGUGAUCUACAAGACCUGAAUUUUUCUUCGUCACGGGCAAUUGCCCGUGACGAAGAAAAAUUCCUCAUUCAAGUGUUUCUAGGUCUUGUCAAAAGAAUAACAUGUUUAUUGGUUAGGGAAUAUCAAAUAAACCUUUAAUUUUUCUAUUA